UUUCUAUCUCUAUAUUUUUCAUUCACUCAACCUAAUUCUUCCAUUUUUUUGCUCAAGAUUUAUCAUCUUUUGAGGGGAAGAUUUAUCAUCUUGAAUGUACACAAUAUUUUUUGUUAAUAUACAUAACAGCUUUUUGUGGGAUAAAAAUCUUAUGUCUUAGUAAGUAUUCAGCAAAAUAAGUACUAGAAAACUGCUACCAACAUAUGUCCAACACUUUUUAACAUGCUCUAUUUUUUUAUCUGGAGUUCUGACCAUCGGCCUCAUCUAAUAUUAUACAUUAUCCUUUACUAAUGAGCUAAGCUCCCGGAACAAAUAAUCUAUCUUAUUAUUAGUUAAAAUUUGUAUGUAUUCCACAAAAUUUACCUAAUUUAUAUUGAUGGUAAUGCUAGUGUUAUUCCAAGUACUGUAGUUUAGUUUUAUAGUUAAAUUUUUGGAUUAACAUAACUAUGAUUUGUUGGAUGGGUGGAUCAGGAAAAGUCAAACCAGAUGAUGGGCAACAUAGGUGACAAAGCCCAAGCUGCAAAGGAAAAAGUCCAGCAAACAGCCCAAGCAGCUAAGGAGAAGACAGGACAGACAGCCCAAGCUGCAAAGGAGAAAACCCAAGAAACAGCCCAAGCUGCAAAGGACAAAACCCAGCAAGCAGCCCAAGCAACAAAGGAUAAAACCCAAGACACAACUGGUCAAGCAAGAGACAAGGGUUAUGAAAUGGGCCAGGCUACAAAAGAAACUGCCCAAUCAGGAAAGGACAACUCAGCUGGGUUUUUGCAACAGACAGGUGAGAAGGUUAAGGGUAUGGCACAAGGUGCAACUGAAGCAGUUAAGAACACUUUAGGAAUGAAUAAUGAUGAGGAAGACAAGGACCAUUUCACAACAAAAACAACUACAACAACCCGUCGUAACGUCGUUGAUUGAGAUUAUUAGCUACUAUGUUUCGAUAAUGUUGUAUUGUAAUUUGUUUUUCUUGAAUUUGGUUUUUACCAAAUGCACUUUCUUUUAGAAUAAGUUACGAUUCCCUCAUAUCUAGAGAGGUGAAAGGGAAAUGUAUUAUGUAAUCUCUAUUUUUCUAGUUUCUAGUUUGAACCUUGUUCUUCUUGUGAUAAAUAAUACUUUAAUUUUCUGUUCCUGGUUUUGUUUCGUUUUCUAUCUCAAUCUCGUUUAGUUCUUUGAUGUAAGCUUUGUUUGUUUGCUCAUUCAUUAUUCUAUUUCGCACGUCGAUAUAUCAAGAAUGCAGUGACAUUGAAUCCUCCUCCAUAGAGGAGUUCGUUGGAUUUGGCACCUAAAUCGGAACAAUUUAGGUUUCAUAUGUUGACGACUUUGAUAAUGUAUUCCAUUGAUUACUUCAUUCAAAGCCCUAUGUUAAAUAAAAAAGAGAAAUAAAUAAGUAGGUUUUAUGUUACUCUGUUUCAAAACACUAUAUAAAAGAUUACUACAUAGAAAAAAAGAGGAGUGAUAUUUGUACAAUUAGUUUUAGAUAAUUUUGAUGACAACCACUUUUCUACUGUGUGAUUGAACAAACACAGUGGAGAGAGAACGAAGAAGAUAGAGAAUAAAAACACAUGUAAAUAUAAGAAAGAUGGUUGUUUCAAAAAUUGGUUGUCACUAUUUGAAUUUGGUAACAUUCUAAAAAUGUUAGGUAAAACCUCUCUUUUUGUCUUUAAGAAAUCAAGUUGAUAUAUGAGCAUCGAAUUGGAGAUCUUGAAAGGAGCACACUCUAAUAUUUUAAGUCAUGGUAAAGUCUAUGUUACUAUACAAUAACGUGGUUAACAUCUAAGAAACUUACUAUAGCAAUCAAAACGAUGAUAGUGACUAAUUGGCUGUGGAAUAUUUUCCUAGCUAAUUUUAAGUAAUGUAAAAAAAAUAUAAAUUGAUGGACACAGUAAUUAAGAAGCUCGUUGUUUAUUUAGUUAGUGAAUUCUAGAAAGAACAAUGUCUCUCACUCAGUUGUUCCAGCAUCGCCUUACCUUUCAUCGAUUGAAGGUUUCAUCGUCUAAAAUUCAAUGGCCUAUCAGUCGAUGUCGGAUAACGUGAUAUUUAUUUAUAGUUGUAAUGGACCUCAUAUUUUUAGGCUAGAAAUAUUAGCUUAAACCCAUGUAGAACAAUUUCCUUCAUGACUUCAAGAGAAUCUAGACUAUUUUCACGUUUUAAUUCUCUUGUCUUCUUGCAGUUCUUUAUUUAAUGUUUAAGAUCAUACAAACAUAUGACAUUAAUAUUUUCAAACAAUAAAAACAAUAAGAUUGGAUUAAAAGAUAACUAAUGUUUCAACUGAGAGUAAGAAUUUUUUUAGAGAUGGCACAUCAUUACAAUGUUUGUCUAUAAGAAUAACUUAAGUACGAAGAGUGGAGAGUUUAUUUUUUUUUCUAUAUGAUACAUCAUCAUUAUGCAAAACUCAAGUAUAAAGAGUGGGAUUUUUUUUUAUUUUUUUUAGAUAGAUAAUGUUGAGUUUUAACUCUUUCACUUAUCGUGUUUCUUCAACCAAAAUACGAAUAUUAUCAUAAGAGAUAAUGACCAUAAUAAAUUAAUUGUUUCAAUUUAUUUGAUGGGCAUAAAAAUAAGAGGCUAACGGUAAAAUGAUUGAAUGAAAAUAUAGAUGCUUGAAUGUCAUUAUACCAACAAUCCCCCCUAUGACAAGCAAGUAAAAAACAAAGGGUUAAAUAUGUUUUUGGUCCUUAUAUUUUAUGCAAUUUUGAGAAUAGUCCCUACAUUUCAAUAAAUGUUUUUAAAAUCCCUACAUUUUUCCUUCGUUAGUGCAAUUGUUCCUUGCCAUCACUGCCAUGUUGAUGAAACACAAGUCAUCCUAACAAGUUCAACCCCACCCCACCAAAUCUCCACCACAACACCUUCCAUACUCGCAACGGCAAAAACUUUCAACGAUAACAUCAUCGCUUUUGGCCUCCAAAUCUUCCCCUCUAAACCAACAUAUUUCACUGGAAAUGUGACGAACAGUGGCAAUCCGCAUAUACGACGCUGCGGAGAAAGAUCGUGGUGAAGUUCCCCGCCGUUUUUUGGCGAGAUUGAACCGCCAACAUUGGCAUCACGUUAGAAAUUUGACAACAUGGACUAUUUACGCUAACGGAGAAAAAAUGUAGGGAUUUUAAAAACAUUUAUUGAAAUGUAGGGACUAUUCUCAAAAUCGCGUAAAAUGUAGGGACCAAAAACAUAUUUAACCCAAAAACAAAUAUGGGCAAAAAAAAGGUUUAGCGAUUAAGUGUUAAUGUUUUAAGGAUUGAAUUAAACACAUAGCGAGUGAGGCAACACCUUAUAUCCAAUAAGUGAUGUAUUCUUAAACUUAAUAAUGCACUUAAGUCGGGGCCUUUAAAAUGAGUGCAACUUUGCUCCACUUAGGAGGCCUCCAGCUAUUCACUACACAGAUGUAUGAAUGUGGCAAAAACGAUAUUAAGGGUUGAGAUUAAAAGAUUACAAAUAGGCAUUUGUUUACCGGAAAAAAAAAACCUACACGUUUCCAUUUCUUUCUCUAUGAAACAAUACCACGUUCCUCCAUCUUCCUUCUCGCAUGCACCGUAAACUCCAUAACAGAUGUAUUAAUUCAAACGGUUGGUAAAACCAGUGUCAUCGAUUCAUGUAUAAUAAAAUUUGACUCCACCUCUCUCUCUCUCUCUCUCUCUCUCUCUCUCUCUCUCUCUCUCUCUCUNNNNNNNNNNNNNNNNNNNNNNNNNNNNNNNNNNNNNNNNNNNNNNNNNNNNNNNNNNNNNNNNNNNNNNNNNNNNNNNNNNNNNNNNNNNNNNNNNNNNNNNNNNNNNNNNNNNUCUCUCUCUCUCUCUCUCUCUCUCUCUCUCUCUCUCUCUCUCUCUCUCUCUCUCUCUCUCUCUCUCCCCCUUUUCUAUUCUAAUUCUGUUGUUAUUGGAAGAUUUAGUAGAUCAAUUAUUUCAAUUUUCAAUUUUAGUAUCUCUGUUGAUAUCAAUCUAGAUCGUUUUGUUUUUAUCAUGUUGAUCUCGAAGUAGUUCAUUUCAUCAGUCGGAUCAGACGGACGACGCCGACGAGAAGGAGAGGGAGAGUCAACGACCAUGUUGUUUCAAAGGAAGAAGAAGCAACAUGGUGUUGUUUGAGAGAGUGUGUGGGAUUUUUUUUUGCAGUAAAAAAAUGGCUAUUUCUAAUCUUUUAUCUCAAUUGUUUUUGUCACAUGUCAUACAUAUGGGUACGUAGUGAACAAGUAUAAAUAGAGGUAUCUUAAAUGGACCAAAGUCAAACUCCUUUAAAACCCACACUACUCGCUUUAAGAUUGUGAUAGUUUCGUGAUAUAAUUUCUCCAUAACUAAGGCCUAAUAUUCACCCUGGGUUGCUUCCUUUUGGGUUGCUCAAGAAAGUUUGUCUACGACUUUCUUAGAAGGUGGCCUAUGUCUUCACACUCACAUAUUCAAUGGUAGAUACAUGUAGUGCGUCUGUAUAGCUUCUUUAAAAAAAAAAUGUUUGUCUCUAUAGUACCAUGUAUUCAUUAUGAACUUAUAUUGCUCAUAUUCGAAGUAAGCACUAUCACACUCCAUAUGGAUGAACAAUGUAGUGCAUAUAUCAGUAUUCAUAUGGUUUCGUUUGACCACAAAUCGGGUAUAUAUAUUCACCAAAUUUUCUCCACUCACGCUUUAAAUCACCCCCUCCCCACCCCCCGACGUGUUUUAUGGAAAAUCCUUUCGUAAAAGGAUCUUCAAUUUGUUUUUUCUUUUCUCCCUAGUCUCAUAUGGUGAGAUAGUAUCAUUUUCUAACAAGAUUUGUAUCGUCUUUCAUAGGCACUAUUAUUAGUUAUAUAACUUGUAGUUUAUGAUCACAAUAGAUUUAGAUGACUGGAUCUCCUCCAUAAAGGUGCCUCAGUGACAUUGAAUCUUUCAACCAUUUUGCUUCUUGACUUGCAAAGUCAAUAGCUGCGAAUUUUGAUUUCAUUGGUAAAUUUGACAAGCAUAUAUGCUUUAUUUAUUUCCUAGAGAUACCACAUCAUAAUGAAAUAAACAAGUACUUCGUAAUGGAACUUACCCUGUCUUUAUUUUAGAUCGAAUUUACAAUAUAAAAUUCUUCUACUAUGGAGAAUUGGAAAAUAUUAUAAUCAAUCUAUAAUAUCACAUAGAUAUAUUAAAAAAUAUAACUGACCAUUUCCAUUGAUCACCAUUGAGACUUAUAUACUUCAUCUAUUAUUUCAUAAUACAACUUGCAAUGUCAUGUAUAAUAGAAUUUAGGCUUAAAUAAGAAAAAGGUCCCUGUAAGUUCGCGCAUUUUUGGUUUUAGUCCCUGUAUCUUUUUUUUGUUGCGAAACAACCCCUGUAUUUACUUAACAUUUUGACAUUCGUCCCUGCCGUCCGUUUCCGUCAAAAAAACGAUUCUCUGGCUAACGGACUAAUAUGUGCCAUAUGAUGAGCUGACAAUUGGCUAUUAGAGGGACUAAAACCAAAAACGCAAAUUUACAUAGGGACGAAAAUAAAAAACAUAAUCAUCAAAAUUUGAAUUUUAAAACAUAUUAUUUUCACCUUCUUCCUCACUAUGUUACUUCUCUCUUCUUCAUUUCUGCCUGCCAUUCCCACCCUUCCAUAGCUUUGCGCGCUAACACCAAAAACCCAUUUCAUUGAACAAUGUCUUCUCAUUCCAUUUGUCAAUCAUCAUCAAAUGAGUUGCCAAUACGUGGUUGCAGAAAAAAUUAUGAGGAUGUUCAUCUCCAAUUCGCAUGCCAUGCUGCUACAACAUGGAAAAUUGAUAAAGAGAAAGAGCCAUUAAGCAUUAAUAUUACAAAAUUCCAGAGGUAAUUGAGAAAGCUUAAAUUCUCACAGUUGAUUGCAAGAGGUGCUACUAAAGGACUUUGUUUUCUACAUCAUAAUUGCAUCCCUCACAUCAUACACAAAGACAUGAAGUCAAGCAAUGUAUUACUUGACAAUGAAAUGGAGUCAAGAGUCUUGGAUUUCGAAAUGGCAAGACUAAUAAGUGCACUUAUGGCAAGACUAAUAAGUGCACUUGAUACACAUCUUAGUGUAAGCACACUAGCAGGAACACCUGGAUAUGUUCCACCAGAGUAUUACCAAAGUUUCAGGUGCACUGCAAAGGGUGAGGUUUAUUCAUUUGGUGUUGUAAUGUUGGAACUUCUUAAUGGGGAAAGGCCUGGUGAUAAGGAGGAUUUUGGUGACACAAACUUGGUUGGAUGGGCCAUGAUUAAGGUUCACGAAGGGAAACAAAUGGAAGUAAUUAACACUGAUUUGCUUUUGGAGAUUCAAGGAGGAACAAAUGAAGCAGAACUGAAAGAAGUAAUUGGCACUUAUAGGCAGCUCAUUUGAUGAUGAAUGAGAAAUGGAAUGAGAAGACAUUGUUGAAGGAAAUGGGGUUUGAGUUUUUGGGCGCAAGCAAUUAAAGAAAGAACAAAUAGAGGAAGAAGAAGGAAAGACUAGUUUUUAAAAUUUUAAAAUUGAUGAUUACGUUUUUUUAAAUUAAUCUCUAUGUUAAAUUGCGUUUUUGGUUUUAGUCCCUAUACUAACCUCAGUCAUCAACUAGUGCCAACUUACGAAGUGCCACGUAUUGCUCUGUUAGCCAGCUCAUCGUUUUUUCACGGAAUUGGACGGCAUGUACUAGAUCCAAAACGUUUGCUAAAUACAGAGUUUGUCUCACAACAAAAAAACUUACAAGGACUAAAACCAAAAAUGCGCCAACUUACAUAGAUCUUUUACUUAUUUAAGCCUAGAAUUUAUAAAAUACACAACAUAUUAAUCAAUCAUCUGACACUCAAAUUGAGAGAUUAUAUUUUGAAAUUUCAUUCCUAUCCUCGAGUUACUAUCUUAAGAUAAAUUCACUCAUUUCAAACUAUAUUUAUCAAAAAUAUAGUUCAAUUCCUUUUUUUAUAAUAUUAAUAAUAAUAAUAAAAUAUAUAGAAUUUUAAUUCUGUUACAUCCUAAUAGAUUGUAGAAUUUUCUCAGAGUAGUUAACUUUUUCAUUUAUUUUAUCAACAUCUUCUACUUCUACUAAAAAAGAAUGUUAUAUAUCCACGCAAACAUUUUUAAUUUUCUAUAGAACUUUUACUUUCUCUUGACUCAAUAGUUUCAAUAUAUCUCAGCCAAAUGAUUAAACUCAAAUGGUUAAUAAAUUUUUUAGGAUGAAUCAUUUAGGAGAACUUAAGUUUGAUUUCGAUGAAGAGAAAAUUUUCCAUAUCAGAUAAAAUUAAGCAUGAACUAUGUGAACAUUAAAAUUCAUCAAUAAUACAUCAAUUGAAACCCACUUCAAAGAUUACAAGAUAUUUAUGGACAACCAACAACACGUCCAUAUCCAUUCCCUCAAAAAAAAAAAAAAAAAACACGUCCAUAUCCAUGUUCACAGUUUUAUUUUAAUUUUGAACCACCACAAUAAGUCUAUAAAGCAUAAAGAAAACGUAAAAGUAACUGAAACCUUAUAAAUAAGAAACUUUGCAAAAUUAGUCAUAUUUAAAUAUAUAAAAAAUCGAUAGAGAAUUCUAGUUUUCAAUUAACUAAAAAAAAAAUCAAUAAUUUCAAAAAUCAUUUUCAUUGACAUAUAAAAAAUCGCUUUAUCCCUUCAAAAAAAAAAAAAAAAUCGCUUUAUGCCUUCAUUUUUCAUACAAAUCUUUCAAAAGUUGUACCGAAGAUUUAGAAGAAAAACCAUAACAAUGUGUAGUCUAUCAUAGUUUCAUAGUCAUAUCUUAAAUUAUAAUCAAAACUAUCACCACGUAGAUAUUUCAAUAUAUAUUUUCUUGCAGGUUUUUACCAAGACAAAAUAUAUUUAGAUAAUUUCUAUCAAUCAUGGACAUAAAAAUAAUUUUAACUUUGGAUUUAAAAAUCUAUCUACAUACAUGCCCUUGAGUUUAAGACACUUACUUAGACUCUUAACUCGUGUUUUUACCUUAGAUUAGAUGACAAUAUAUUUAUGAUUUAUUAGCUAUCAUCCAAUAUUCUUUACACUUUAUUUGAUGACGAUCCUUUUCAUGUAAUCCGAUACCUUAAAAAAUAAAAAAUUUAACAUUUCUAUACAAUAAAUAAUUAAAUUUUGUUUGGUACUGGUCAGAAGACCAGUCACAUGUUGACAAGUGGUCUAAACUUACACUUCCUUAAUGUUCCGCACUUGAGAAAAUACGCUAGCUCAAGUGCACCGCGCCUCACAAGAGCGUGUCCGUCGCGCGAGGAUCACCCUACACGUGUCCUCUAACUGUCCCUAAUCACACGCCGCAAAAUCCGGAGACGGUUAUGCUCAACGCGCGCUUAUAUAAGGGUGAACUUACUUCAUCCUCAAGGUAUGAUUCACUUUUCACAACACUUUCUACACACUCUCAGUUACAUUAUUGACUUGUGCGUUGGAGUGCUAACAUGACUGCAUACACCUUUCGCCCCACCGCAAGGAUUAGUCACCGCCGUACCGAAAACUGUCACUAUCACACUCGAGCACUUUCCGCCAUCGUUACCUUUCAUCCAUCCUCACUGAAAAGAUCAAAUUUGCUUUUAGAUUUUUGAAAAUAUUAAUAAAAAAAAAAAGAAUUCGGAUAGUUAAGAAAAAUUAGAAGAGAAUUGUUGUGCCAUGGUCUUGAAAGCAAACUUCGAUGGACCUCUAAUGCACUAUUUAGCUUUCUUCUAAUUAAGUGAUGCAUGCAUCUAACAUUUUUUUAUUUUUUGGACAAAAAACUUAUAAGGUCAUGAGUCAUGACUCAUGAAUCAUCAUUGUCUUUGCGCCUCAUAUAUAAAUCACGUCUCACAGAUAUGUCAGACAAAAAAUAAAAUCAUGCAUCUAUCUCAGCAUGAUUAUAUAAUACUCAAGUAAUGGCAACUUGUCAAAAUUCUACAGGUUGGUUUCUCAUCUUAAACUUAGAAAAUUGCAUACAAGUUUACAACCAUCCAUGGGAUGACACAUGUUGUGCACGUGUCAAGAAGUUAGACACGUGGUUAUCAUACACGACUCAUGAAACACUAUAAAUAGUGCAUGAAAUGAAACUCAAAAUCUCACAACAAAAGUAGUCUACAUAUAUUCAAUUCAUAGGAAGAAAGUUUGUAUCAUAUAAGACAAACUAGUGAGUGAAGCAGUUAUACCAUUUGAAGAAGAAAGAUGGCAUCCCAAGAUCAGAGCUUCAAAGCUGGUGAGACCAUGGGUCGAACUGAGGUAUUAUAAUAAACGUCAUUCACACUUUAUGUAUACCAUUUUUUUCAUUUCCUUGUUUAUUAAAAUGAUAAUAUUUAUCGCACUUUAUGUAAACAAUACACACUAUAUAUAAGAUUAAAUAUAUCAUGUCUAAUAUAAGUUUAAUUUUUAUAUUAAAGUUAAUUAGUUUUAGUCCUUUUUUCUUAUAGAGCCUAUUUUAGAAGGACUAGAAACACACAUUUUUAGAUUAACAUAACUGUAAUCCCUACAUAAAAAAAUGUCACAGUUUGAAUUUAGUAACAUUCAAAAAAUGUCACUAUUUCAUUUAGCACACAUUUUUUUAUAGAGCCUAGUAUUGUUGUAAGUACUAUAGUUUAGUUUUAUAACAAAUUUUUUGGAUUAACAUAACUAUGAUUUGUUGGAUGUGUUGAUCAGGAAAAGUCAAACCAGAUGAUGGGUAAUAUAGGUGACAAGGCACAAGCUGCCAAGGAAAAGGUCCAGCAAACAGCCCAAGCAGCUAAGGAGAAGACAGGACAGACAGCCCAAGCAGCUAAGGAGAAAACCCAGGAAACAGCCCAAGCAGUCAAGGAUAAAACCCAACAAACAGCCCAAGCAACAAAGGAUAAAACCCAAGACACAACUGGUCAAGCAAGAGACAAGGGUUAUGAAAUGGGCCAGGCUACAAAAGAAACUGCCCAAUCAGGAAAGGACAACUCAGCUGGGUUUUUGCAACAGACAGGUGAGAAGGUUAAGGGUAUGGCACAAGGUGCAACUGAAGCAGUUAAGAACACUUUAGGAAUGAAUAAUGAUGAGGAAGACAAG
RNAcentral lists this long non-coding RNA (9876 nucleotides) under Medicago truncatula (barrel medic). RNAcentral describes it as "long non-coding RNA (MTRU_LNC001407)". Lineage: Eukaryota; Viridiplantae; Streptophyta; Magnoliopsida; Fabales; Fabaceae. The record is from RNAcentral.